This 1333-nucleotide long non-coding RNA is filed under the name Olea europaea subsp. europaea. The record is from RNAcentral. Lineage: Eukaryota; Viridiplantae; Streptophyta; Magnoliopsida; Lamiales; Oleaceae.
UUCCAUUCUUGAAUUAAAACAUGUGAUUCUUCAUAUCGAACCUUGCAUAAACCAUAUAAAUAAAAUUAAUCAUUUUCUAAAAUCAAGUAGGAAUGAAAUAAGAAAAAAUUAGACGUAAGUGAUGCGAUUGGCCGAGGCGAGUAUAAAUUUUUCCUUAAGAUGAAUUUGCCCCGCAACAGUGCUAACGGUUUUCCGACAAUCAUCUCCCAAGAUACGACGACCACGUCGAGACAUAGGAGCACUCCAAAUGAUUUCGACCAGCGAACUCGAACGAAAUUCCCUCUCUACCAGGGAAAUGCAUGAAAAUGCUAUGGAAUUAGAAAUGAGAGAAUUGUAAGAGGAGAAUGAAUGCUCAAUGUAAUUGGUGUACCCAAAACCAUGUCCAUAGGGCUCUAUUUAUAGAUGUAGAAAGGGUGCAAAUAAAGUAGUAUUGGCCAAAACAUGCAUCCUUUCAAAAAGUUUCAACACUUGGCCAAUACCUGCAUCCUUUCGAAAAGUUGCAACACUUCAUUUCUUCCAACUUUGAUCCGCAAUUUCUCAUUCAUUUGAAAUUGGUUUCGAGAUUCCAAAUAUACCACGACGAUCUACUCGACGAGUAGAAUAAGUUGGUCUAUUUACUUUUGUAAUUUGACCAUUGGAUCAAGUCCAAAUAUUUGGCCGAAGUUGACACGUAGUCACGCCUUUUCAUUUUCCACUUUUACACACCUUUUCAUUUUCCAAUUUUUGGUUAAUUAUUUGAAUCAAUUCAUACAAUCCCCCACAUGAAUGGAAAUUCGAGUAUGUAAAUGUAAUGCUAUGAUGUGAUGCAAGUAGAGAGAGAGCGGAAAGCCACUGCAUCGGGGAUGGUAGCUUCGGGCCUAGAACCUCCCGUAGUGAAAUACUAUCGGACUUACUCGGCUAAUUGGUAAACGUGAUAUCUUGAACCAUUCAGCCUUUAGUGUAAGCCAAAACAAUGAUACUCACACAGAUGUCUUUCCUAAACCGUUCAUGAUUCUCAUGACUUGGUUCAUUUUGGCCCUGAACCCUUCUUGGUUCUACGAGUGUUUAAAGAAUUCAAGCCUUGAAUAAUUCUCAUUGAAGCGGCCCCACUUCACACUCACAUAAGUGACCUCCUAUUAAGAAUAUUCUGUCAUACUCCACUUGACUUAAUCAAUAUAUAUGAAUCAUUAAAAGAUUAUCUUAACCUCUUACAACUCUGCAGAAAGCACUUUAAUAUCAUAGGAAUGAGUUAAGAAACUAUUUUCGUUAGUGCUUCAUGGAAUUCUCAUAACUUAGUUGUCCCUUUGAACCAAGAUCUUGGGAUCUCCAGUCAACAAGGUAGGGUUACCAUUAC